Non-coding RNA from Lolium perenne, 724 nucleotides. The record is from RefSeq and is a predicted model, not a curated record. Lineage: Eukaryota; Viridiplantae; Streptophyta; Magnoliopsida; Poales; Poaceae.
CGUGCGCCUCGCCGUGUCGGAUGUCGACGCGCCUCGCUGCAGAGCCCGGCCCGUUGCCGCGCGCCUCACCGUAGAGCCCGCCCGCAACCGCCGAGCUCCCCUCGCUUGCGAGCAGGGCGCCGGUGAAGAGCAGCUCCGCACGUACAGCCCGCUGUGCUCGACGGGUCUCGAUUUUGGCGACUUCAGACAGCGAGAAAAGGGCACGGCGGAUGGAGUUUUGCUUGAUUCUAGGUUGUCGAGAUCAAGGCCAGCCUGCGUCCCCGAGAUCCAGGUUGCUGCUCAGGACUACCGGGUGAAGAAGGGUGGUGCUUUCACUGGUGAAGUCAGACAGGGAUGAUCCACCAGGGGAGGAGUAGAAGAAGGCCAUGCAAAAAAGCUCAUGGACAUGUCCCCAGCGAACUGUUUUCUUCGAUUUCAUGUUUAAAACUUCUAUGCUACUCAAGUUUAAUUGAUGUUAUCUGGCUUGGUGCAAUUUAGAUAAUUGACAUGUAUUAAUUAUUGUUGCAAGAUGUUUCUUUUUGUAAGAUUUGUUGCAUGACUUUCUACCUUUUUAAUUAAUUCUACCUGGAGAUGUAAAGAUUGGUUGAAUAUGUUGUGUAUUUCGAAUUAUAAGUACUUCUUGAUAUUUCUGUAUUAAUUUGUAUGCCUGAAAUUUCAAUUUCAUGUGAAAACGUACUCUUUUGGCCUUAUUUUCGAAUUUCCAAUGUUCCAUUCCAUUCCCGUC